CCUACGGGAGACAGCAGUGAGGAAUAUUGGUCAAUGGACGAGAGUCUGAACCAGCCAAGUAGCGUGAAGGAUGACUGCCCUAUGGGUUGUAAACUUCUUUUAUAUGGGAAUAAAAUGUUCCACGUGUGGGAUUUUGUAUGUACCAUAUGAAUAAGGAUCGGCUAACGCCGUGCCAGCCGCCGCGGUAAUACGGAGGAUCCGAGCGUUAUCCGGAUUUAUUGGGUUUAAAGGGAGCGUCGGUGGAUUGUUAAGUCAGUUGUGAAAGUUUGCGGCUCAACCGUAAAAUUGCAGUUGAAACUGGCAGUCUUGAGUACAGUAGAGGUGAGCGGAAUUCGAGGUGUAGCGGUGAAAUGCUUAGAUAUCACGAAGAACUCCGAUUGCGAAGGCAGCUCACUGGACUGCAACUGACACUGAGGCUCGAAAGUGUGGGUAUCAAACAGGAUUAGAUACCCUUGUAGUC
This 460-nucleotide ribosomal RNA is filed under the name uncultured bacterium. Its description in RNAcentral is "partial 16S ribosomal RNA". It matches the Rfam family "Bacterial small subunit ribosomal RNA", at positions 338 to 795 of the family's 1533-position model. The record is from RNAcentral.